CGCGUCGCAUAUAUAAAUACGCAUAUUGAUAUCACGUUGUGAACUCUCUCACCUUCAUUCUUUUCUCCGCAUUCUGUUUCUUCACCCAGAAAAAAAUAAAAGCGAUUUUUUUUUAUCUUUCUUUUAAUUUUUCAAUUCAAAGUGAGAAAGAAACUCUGCUGCUAAAGUUUUCUGUGUUCUCUCUUAUCAUCAUCUGAGGCUUGUUCUGCAGUUCGUGCACUUCACAAUCACUCUUUGAUUUGGCUCUUACGAGGGCGAUCUGUGUGCAAUUUUGGGGCUGGAAAUCUUGCUCGCGUUUCAUGCUUUUGUGAAUUUCCCUGCGUUAUUGUUAGGAAUGAAGAGGUCAAGGGAUGAUGUUUACAUGAGUUCACAACUGAAACGGCCUAUGGUGUCUUCUAGAGGAGAACCCUCGGGGCAACCACAGAUGACGAGUGGCGGUGCUCAGAAACUAACCACAGAUGAUGCCUUGGCAUAUCUCAAGGCAGUAAAGGACAUGUUUCAAGAUAAGAGGGAAAAGUAUGAUGACUUUCUGGAAGUCAUGAAGGAUUUCAAGGCUCAAAGAAUUGAUACAUCAGGUGUCAUUGCAAGAGUGAAGGAACUGUUUAAAGGGCACAAAGAUCUAAUUUUGGGAUUUAACACCUUCUUGCCAAAGGGAUAUGAAAUUACACUUCCAUUGGAGGAUGAACAACCUCCCCAAAAGAAGCCCGUUGAAUUUGCAGAAGCCAUAAAUUUUGUGGGCAAGAUUAAGGCUCGUUUUCAUGACAAUGACCGUGUUUAUAAGUCAUUUCUAGACAUAUUAAAUAUGUACAGAAGGGAAGCCAAGUCUAUUGCUGAGGUUUACAAGGAGGUUGCUGCACUUUUCCAGGACCAUGUGGAUCUUCUUAGGGAGUUUACUCAUUUUCUUCCUGAUACUUCAGGAACAGCCUCUAAUCACUGUGGUUUGGCUCGAAAUUCUCUCCUUCCCGAUAGGAGCUCUGCUAUGCCAAUAAUUAGGCAAAUGCAUGUUGAAAAGAGAGAAAGGAACAUAGCUUCACAUGGUGAUCGUGACCUCAGUGCUGACCAUCCUGAUCCAGAACUUGACAGAUGUUUGAUUAGGGCCGAUAAGGAUCAGAGGAGGCAUGAUGAGAAGGAAAAGGGCAGUAGAGAUUAUGAUCAUGAUGGUAUAUCUCGCAAGCGGAAAUCUGGUAUUAGGGCUGAAGACUCUGGUGCUGAACCAUUGCAUGAUACUGAUGAAAAUUUUGGCAUGCACCCUAUCUCAUAUGCUUGUGAGGAUAAAAGUUCUUUGAAAAGUAUGUAUAGUCCAGUGCUUGGUUACCUUGACAAAGUGAAGGAGAAAUUAAGAAAUCCUGAGGAUUACCAGGAAUUUUUGAAGUGCCUAAAUAUCUACAGCAAGGAAAUAAUUGCCCGACAUGAGUUGCAAUCAUUGGUGGGCAAUUUACUGGGAAAACAUGCAGAUCUUAUGGAGGGAUUUGAUGAAUUUUUGGUUCAAUGUGAGAAGAACGAAGGAUUCCUUGCUGGUCUCCUGAAAAAAAGACACGGACCAAAACCAGUGAAGGUAGAGGACAGGGAUCGAGAUCGUGAUAGGGAUGAUGGGAUGAAAGAAAGGGACCGCGAAUGCCGAGAAAGGGACAAAUCCAAUGCAAUUGCUAACAAGGAUGUUUUGGUUCCUAAGACAUCUCUGUACGCCGGCAAGGAUAAGUAUGCAGCGAAACCUAUAAGUGAGCUUGAUCUUUCGAACUGUGAACAAUGCACUCCCAGUUACUGUCUUCUACCGAAAAAUUACCCAAUACCACCAGCUAGCCAGAGAACAGAACUUGGUGCAGAGGUGUUGAAUGAUCAUUGGGUUUCUGUUACUUCUGGCAGUGAGGACUAUUCCUUUAAACACAUGCGCAAAAAUCAGUAUGAGGAGAGCUUAUUUAGAUGUGAAGAUGACAGGUUUGAACUUGAUAUGUUGUUAGAGUCUGUAAAUGUGGCAACUAAGCGUGUUGAAGAGCUCUUAGAAAAGGUUAAUGCUAAUAUAAUUAAAGGAGAUAGUCCAAUUCGUAUUGAGGAGCACUUAACAGCUCUAAAUCUUAGGUGCAUUGAACGAUUAUAUGGUGAUCAUGGGCUUGAUGUAAUGGAUGUGCUAAAGAAGAAUGCAUCUUUAGCUUUGCCAGUCAUAUUAACCCGCUUGAAGCAGAAACAGGAUGAGUGGGCAAGGUGUCGUUCUGAUUUUAAUAAAGUUUGGGCUGAAAUAUAUGCAAAGAACUAUCACAAAUCACUUGAUCACCGUAGUUUCUACUUUAAGCAGCAGGAUACAAAAAGCUUGAGCACUAAAGUCUUACUUGCAGAAAUAAAAGAAAUUAGUGAGAAGAAAAGAAAAGAAGAUGAUGUUCUUCUUGCAAUUGCUGCUGGAAACAGACAGCCUAUUAUUCCUCACUUGGAAUUUGUGUAUCCUGAUUCGGAGAUUCAUGAAGAUUUGUAUCAACUCAUAAAAUAUUCUUGUGGAGAAAUGUGUACAACUGAACAGUUGGAUAAAGCUAUGAAGAUUUGGACAACAUUUUUAGAACCCAUGCUUGGUGUUCCUUCUCGACCCCAAGGUCCAGAAGAUACAGAAGAUGUUGUCAAGGCUAAUAAGAAUAAUUCUGCCAAAACUGGCACUGCAAUUGAUGAUGGGGAUAGUAGUCCUGCAACAAAUCCUAAGAAUUUAAACACUAAUAGAAAUGGGGAUGAGAACUUUCCAUCAGAACAAUCAAAUUCCUGCAAACAAUGGCAAACAAGUGGGGAUAAUAAGGUUAAAGAAGAUAAUCAUCUUGAUUUAGAACGCUCGGCACAUAAGAAUGAAACCUUGGGAAGUAGUACACAGCAUGGUAAAGUGCAUAUAAAUGCAUCCACGCCUGAUGAAGUAUCAAGAGCCAAUAAGCAAGAUCAUUCCAUUGAACGGUUGGUGAAUGCUAAUGUCUCAUUGACCUUGGGUAUGGAGCUAAUUAGUAGAAGAACAAAUGUGGAUAAUGCAUCAGGACUUACUGCUACUCCAUCAAGACCUGGUAAUAUUUCUGGUGAGGGAGGACUUGGUUUACCUUCAUUAGAGGGUGCUGAUUCUACAAGACCAGUUACAUCCACAAAUGGGGCCAUCAAUGAGGACACUAAAGUUCACAGAUAUCACGAAGAAGUUGGACACUUCAAAAGUGAAAGAGAAGAGGGUGAGUUAUCACCUAAUGGUGGAGACUUUGAAGAGGAUAACUGUGAAGUUUAUGGACAUGCUGGUUUGGAGGCAGUUCAUAAAGGAAAAGAUGGUACCAUUUGUCGACAAUACCAAAAUAGACAUGGGGAAGAAGUUCGUGGUGAAGCUGGAGGAGAAAAUGAUGCUGAUGACGAAGGCGAAGAAAGUCCCCAUAGAUCAAUGGAGGACAGUGAAAAUGCUUCUGAAAAUGGUGAUGUUUCUGGUACUGAGUCUGCCGAUGGUGAGGAGUGUUCUCGAGAACAUGAGGAGAAUGGAGAUCAUGAACAUGAUAACAAGGCUGAGAGUGAAGGUGAAGCAGAAGGAAUGACUGAUGCCAAUGAUGUUGAAGGAGAUGGUGCCUCAUUGCCAUAUUCAGAGCGCUUUCUUGUCACUGUAAAGCCUCUGGCAAAACAUGUUCCUCCAGUGUUGCAUGACAAACAAAGGACUGUUCGAGUCUUUUAUGGAAAUGAUUCCUUUUAUGUGCUGUUUAGACUUCAUCAGACAUUGUAUGAGAGGAUCCAAUCUGCAAAGGUUAAUUCAUCAUCUGCUGAAAAGAAGUGGAGGGCUUCAAAUGAUACAGGCUCUAGUGAUCAAUAUGGCAGGUUUAUGGAUGCCCUUUACAAUUUACUGGAUGGUUCUUCUGAUAGUACAAAAUUUGAGGAUGAGUGUCGAGCUAUUAUUGGAACUCAGUCAUAUGUCUUAUUCACAUUAGACAAGCUGAUAUAUAAACUUGUUAAACAGCUUCAGGUUGUUGCCACCGAAGAGAUGGAUAACAAGCUGCUUCAACUAUAUGCAUAUGAAAAUUCAAGAAAACCUGGAAGAUUCGUUGAUUUAGUUUAUCACGAAAAUGCCCGUGUUCUUCUCCAUGAUGAGAACAUAUAUCGUAUUGAAUGUUCUCCUGCACCUACCCAAUUGUCGUCUAUUCAACUGAUGGACUAUGGAUAUGAUAAGCCUGAAAUGACUGCAGUGUCAAUGGACCCUAAUUUUUCAGCCUAUCUGCACAAUGACUUCCUAUCUGUUGUCCCUGACAAAAAGGAGAAGUCGGGAAUUUACCUGAAGAGGAAUAAGCGCAAGUAUGCCAUUAGUGAUGAAUAUUCAAGCCAGACCUUGGAUGGACUACAAAUUAUCAAUGGUCUAGAGUGUAAGAUAGCUUGCAGUUCAUCUAAGGUUUCAUACGUUUUAGAUACUGAAGAUUUUUUACAUCAAACAAGAAGAAAAAGGAGAACCUUGUAUCAGAGCAGUUCAUGCCAUGGACAGGAAAAGUCCCCAAUCAUUUGUUCAAGCAGAGCACAACGGUCCUGCAAAUUAUUUUCAAUUUGAAGAUGGUAUUCAUUUUGAGCCCGAGAUGUGUUUUUGGUCAUGCAUCAAUGGCAGGCAGAGGUGCCAGAUGGAAAUGGCAUCCCGUCCAAGAAGUUGAGCAAAGGAUGUUUUAAUGAAAUUCAUUUUUCUUGCAUUCCUCGCAUCUUCUAUACCAACAACCAAAUAAGGCAACACAGAAGGGAGAUGGGGCAGAGAUUGUAGUAUAAUACUUUGACAUGGUGACUGAUGAGUUUCAAUCAUGUAAAUAGAGGACUACAGGGAGAUUUUUGCUUGGAUUUUUCGGCACUCGACACCACCAGUGAAGUUUUCUUUGACUCCCGAAAUGUUGCCUGCGACAACUCCAAAAUCUUCCACGACUUCGACGGCCUCAAGUUUUGACUCUCCUACAAGGACUUGUUUCGCGGCAGCAUUUCCGAAGAAGACGAUGAUGAAGAAGAAAAAGAAGCCUAAUAUGAAUGAAUGCAGUCGUGGUCUUAAUGUUUGCACUUUUUUUACCGUUUGGUUAUGAAUAUUUGAUUACUGCAUGAUGUAUUAGUGUAUCAAAUUUUGUUUUUGUUUGAGUUUUUGCAGUUUA
Molecule: RNA transcript, 5096 nt
Organism: Glycine soja
Lineage: Eukaryota; Viridiplantae; Streptophyta; Magnoliopsida; Fabales; Fabaceae
Gene name: paired amphipathic helix protein Sin3-like 4
Exons: 27
Source: RefSeq, a predicted model, not a curated record